UAUUACUUUGUGCUGAAAGCUGAAUUCUUUCCCUCAGGUGUAAACAGGUGUUCUGAUUGUAGGCUGUAGCUGGGGAAGUCUGGCACUGGCUGCUUCUUCCUACGACCAAGCGACGCUGCUUCAUCAAUGAGAAACUUUAACUUGGAUUUAUUUAUGUUAUCAUCGCUCCCAGGGUUGUGAUAACACUCCAUCAAAGGCUUCAGCUUUCUGAAGACUCAGUGUUCCUCAGGCACAGCUUCUACAGCCAAACAGUUGCAGUACUGCCUCAGGGUUGUACAUCUCCACCAACUGGUUCAACUGCAGUUUACAUCCGUCUGUCAGACUGCCUGCAAUAAGUACAGUAACGAGUCUGCAGGAAUUUAACAGAGAGAUUGUAGAAAAGCUUAAGGGGAUUUCUGAAGAAGUACAUUCAACCCCUGAAGAAGAUGAAAAGUUAAGAAAUUGUAUCAUCCAAUCAGCUAACAAGACUCAGAGCCUGGUUGAUGAGUGUGCUGUAAUGAAGACUGACCUCAGAGAGAUUUUUAAUAACAAUGUCCGUGGGAGAUGAGAGUGGGAGGAUGUAAACCGUUGGUGAAUUCCAGUCAUAGGAUGCUAAUGCUUUGUGACAUCACACAUUAAACAGGAAACAGGGUAGGUGGAAAGGUGCAGGGUCCAUCAAGCUCAAGCAGACUCAGCAGAUUCAGCUGAGCAGGCUUUUGCAACAUUUGCAGAGUUGAUCAAAAUCAAUGCUGUGUGUUUUUGUGUUAGAUUCAGUCCUGCAGUGCUGUGCAGGAAACUGUGAGCAGGACAGAAGAGAAGAGAAGAGCUGCUUUCUGCACUCAAGCUAAAGCUUUAACAUCCUCAACAAAGAGCAGCUUCACUCAUCGUAGACUCUCACAGGAAGUCAUGUGGGAGCUGCUGUUGAUCUUCAGUCUGCUUUGCUGGACGUCUGAGGGCAGUGUGACCUGCAGAAAUGAAAACAAUGGUGAAGUGGACUGGUAAGUCUCCUCAUAAUAUACAUAUAUGUGUAUGGAAGGACGGGCCCCUGCAUGGUAUGUACCACUGGCAGACAGAGGAAGUGGCUGAUAUCCAGAAGUCCUAUCAAUGGCUUGAAAAAGCUGGACUGAAAGACAGCACGGGGGCACUAAUCAUGGCAGCACAGGAACAAACUCUGAGCACAAGAUCCA
This is a long non-coding RNA of Haplochromis burtoni (Burton's mouthbrooder), 1166 nucleotides long. RefSeq lists it as uncharacterized. Lineage: Eukaryota; Metazoa; Chordata; Actinopteri; Cichliformes; Cichlidae. The transcript is spliced from 6 exons. The record is from RefSeq and is a predicted model, not a curated record.